UCAGUAUUCUGUGUAACUUUCACUCGCAAUGGAGCACUAAUUAACCCUCAUCUGCUACAGUAGCCUCAAGCCAUCGACACCAACGACAGACGUCGCAUACCAUCAACUGAUGUCUUGUACUAACAGUUUUAAGGAUGGAAAUUUCUUGAGUGAGUGGGACGGAAUUGGGGAGGAUUGGGAGAUCUGGUGUCAUCGGUCUUCUUCUACUUGAUAGAAUCCAGUCCAGACAACCAACAAGCAGUUACUUUUCACCUAUUCAGUCAUUUCUAAUAAAUAAGUUGGGAUUUUA
This is a long non-coding RNA of Macrobrachium nipponense, 289 nucleotides long. RefSeq lists it as uncharacterized. The transcript is spliced from 2 exons. The record is from RefSeq and is a predicted model, not a curated record. Lineage: Eukaryota; Metazoa; Arthropoda; Malacostraca; Decapoda; Palaemonidae.